This 254-nucleotide ribosomal RNA is filed under the name uncultured bacterium. Its description in RNAcentral is "partial 16S ribosomal RNA". It matches the Rfam family "Bacterial small subunit ribosomal RNA", at positions 524 to 776 of the family's 1533-position model. The record is from RNAcentral.
UACGGGGGGAGCAAGCGUUGUUCGGAUUUACUGGGCGUAAAGGGCGCGUAGGCGGUCGUGACAAGUCACUUGUGAAAUCUCCGGGCUUAACUCGGAACGGUCAAGUGAUACUGUCGGACUAGAGUACAGAAGGGGCAACUGGAAUUCUCGGUGUAGCGGUGAAAUGCGUAGAUAUCGUAAGGAAGACCAGUGGCGAAGGCGAGUCUCUGGACAGCAACUGACGCUGAGGCACGAAGGCCAGGGGAGCAAACGGG